RNAcentral lists this ribosomal RNA (2776 nucleotides) under Salmonella enterica subsp. enterica serovar Bredeney. RNAcentral describes it as "partial 23S ribosomal RNA". It matches the Rfam family "Bacterial large subunit ribosomal RNA". Lineage: Bacteria; Pseudomonadati; Pseudomonadota; Gammaproteobacteria; Enterobacterales; Enterobacteriaceae. The record is from RNAcentral.
GACUCGUCACACUAUCAUUAACUGAAUCCAUAGGUUAAUGAGGCGAACCGGGGGAACUGAAACAUCUAAGUACCCCGAGGAAAAGAAAUCAACCGAGAUUCCCCCAGUAGCGGCGAGCGAACGGGGAGGAGCCCAGAGCCUGAAUCAGCAUAUGUGUUAGUGGAAGCGUCUGGAAAGGCGCGCGAUACAGGGUGACAGCCCCGUACACAAAAGCGCAUGUGCUGUGAGCUCGAUGAGUAGGGCGGGACACGUGGUAUCCUGUCUGAAUAUGGGGGGACCAUCCUCCAAGGCUAAAUACUCCUGACUGACCGAUAGUGAACCAGUACCGUGAGGGAAAGGCGAAAAGAACCCCGGCGAGGGGAGUGAAAAAGAACCUGAAACCGUGUACGUACAAGCAGUGGGAGCACAGGUUUACCUGUGUGACUGCGUACCUUUUGUAUAAUGGGUCAGCGACUUAUAUUCUGUAGCAAGGUUAACCGAAUAGGGGAGCCGGAGGGAAACCGAGUCUUAAUUGGGCGUUAAGUUGCAGGGUAUAGACCCGAAACCCGGUGAUCUAGCCAUGGGCAGGUUGAAGGUUGGGUAACACUAACUGGAGGACCGAACCGACUAAUGUUGAAAAAUUAGCGGAUGACCUGUGGCUGGGGGUGAAAGGCCAAUCAAACCGGGAGAUAGCUGGUUCUCCCCGAAAGCUAUUUAGGUAGCGCCUCGUGAAUUCAUCUCCGGGGGUAGAGCACUGUUUCGGCUAGGGGGCCAUCCCGGCUUACCAACCCGAUGCAAACUGCGAAUACCGGAGAAUGUUAUCACGGGAGACACACGGCGGGUGCUAACGUCCGUCGUGAAGAGGGAAACAACCCAGACCGCCAGCUAAGGUCCCAAAGUCAUGGUUAAGUGGGAAACGAUGUGGGAAGGCCCAGACAGCCAGGAUGUUGGCUUAGAAGCAGCCAUCAUUUAAAGAAAGCGUAAUAGCUCACUGGUCGAGUCGGCCUGCGCGGAAGAUGUAACGGGGCUAAACCAUGCACCGAAGCUGCGGCAGCGACGCUGAUGCGUUGUUGGGUAGGGGAGCGUUCUGUAAGCCUGCGAAGGUGGCCUGUGAGGGUUGCUGGAGGUAUCAGAAGUGCGAAUGCUGACAUAAGUAACGAUAAAGCGGGUGAAAAGCCCGCUCGCCGGAAGACCAAGGGUUCCUGUCCAACGUUAAUCGGGGCAGGGUGAGUCGACCCCUAAGGCGAGGCCGAAAGGCGUAGUCGAUGGGAAACGGGUUAAUAUUCCCGUACUUGGUGUUACUGCGAAGGGGGGACGGAGAAGGCUAUGUUGGCCGGGCGACGGUUGUCCCGGUUUAAGCGUGUAGGUGUGUGUUCCAGGUAAAUCCGGUUCACUUUAACACUGAGGCGUGAUGACGAGGCACUACGGUGCUGAAGCAACAAAUGCCCUGCUUCCAGGAAAAGCCUCUAAGCAUCAGGUAACAUCAAAUCGUACCCCAAACCGACACAGGUGGUCAGGUAGAGAAUACCAAGGCGCUUGAGAGAACUCGGGUGAAGGAACUAGGCAAAAUGGUGCCGUAACUUCGGGAGAAGGCACGCUGACACGUAGGUGAAGUGAUUUACUCAUGGAGCUGAAGUCAGUCGAAGAUACCAGCUGGCUGCAACUGUUUAUUAAAAACACAGCACUGUGCAAACACGAAAGUGGACGUAUACGGUGUGACGCCUGCCCGGUGCCGGAAGGUUAAUUGAUGGGGUCAGCGCAAGCGAAGCUCCUGAUCGAAGCCCCGGUAAACGGCGGCCGUAACUAUAACGGUCCUAAGGUAGCGAAAUUCCUUGUCGGGUAAGUUCCGACCUGCACGAAUGGCGUAAUGAUGGCCAGGCUGUCUCCACCCGAGACUCAGUGAAAUUGAACUCGCUGUGAAGAUGCAGUGUACCCGCGGCAAGACGGAAAGACCCCGUGAACCUUUACUAUAGCUUGACACUGAACAUUGAGCCUUGAUGUGUAGGAUAGGUGGGAGGCUUUGAAGUGUGGACGCCAGUCUGCAUGGAGCCGGCCUUGAAAUACCACCCUUUAAUGUUUGAUGUUCUAACGUGGACCCGUGAUCCGGGUUGCGGACAGUGUCUGGUGGGUAGUUUGACUGGGGCGGUCUCCUCCUAAAGAGUAACGGAGGAGCACGAAGGUUGGCUAAUCCUGGUCGGACAUCAGGAGGUUAGUGCAAUGGCAUAAGCCAGCUUGACUGCGAGCGUGACGGCGCGAGCAGGUGCGAAAGCAGGUCAUAGUGAUCCGGUGGUUCUGAAUGGAAGGGCCAUCGCUCAACGGAUAAAAGGUACUCCGGGGAUAACAGGCUGAUACCGCCCAAGAGUUCAUAUCGACGGCGGUGUUUGGCACCUCGAUGUCGGCUCAUCACAUCCUGGGGCUGAAGUAGGUCCCAAGGGUAUGGCUGUUCGCCAUUUAAAGUGGUACGCGAGCUGGGUUUAGAACGUCGUGAGACAGUUCGGUCCCUAUCUGCCGUGGGCGCUGGAGAACUGAGGGGGGCUGCUCCUAGUACGAGAGGACCGGAGUGGACGCAUCACUGGUGUUCGGGUUGUCAUGCCAAUGGCACUGCCCGGUAGCUAAAUGCGGAAGAGAUAAGUGCUGAAAGCAUCUAAGCACGAAACUUGCCCCGAGAUGAGUUCUCCCUGAGACUUAGAGUCUCCUGAAGGAACGUUGAAGACGACGACGUUGAUAGGCCGGGUGUGUAAGCGCAGCGAUGCGUUGAGCUAACCGGUACUAAUGAACCGUGAGGCUUAACCUUACA